GACGAACGCUGGCGGCGUGCUUAACACAUGCAAGUCGAACGGAAAGGCCCUGCUUUUGUGGGGUGCUCGAGUGGCGAACGGGUGAGUAACACGUGAGUAACCUGCCCUUGACUUUGGGAUAACUUCAGGAAACUGGGGCUAAUACCGGAUAGGAGCUCCUGCUGCAUGGUGGGGGUUGGAAAGUUUCGGCGGUUGGGGAUGGACUCGCGGCUUAUCAGCUUGUUGGUGGGGUAGUGGCUUACCAAGGCUUUGACGGGUAGCCGGCCUGAGAGGGUGACCGGCCACAUUGGGACUGAGAUACGGCCCGGACUCCUACGGGAGGCAGCGGUGGGGAAUAUUGCACAAUGGGCGGAAGCCUGAUGCAGCAACGCCGCGUGCGGGAUGACGGCCUUCGGGUUGUAAACCGCUUUCGCCUGUGACGAAGCGUGAGUGACGGUAAUGGGUAAAGAAGCACCGGCUAACUACGUG
RNAcentral lists this ribosomal RNA (468 nucleotides) under uncultured bacterium. Its description in RNAcentral is "partial 16S ribosomal RNA". It matches the Rfam family "Bacterial small subunit ribosomal RNA", at positions 28 to 507 of the family's 1533-position model. The record is from RNAcentral.